Molecule: long non-coding RNA, 1791 nt
Organism: Homo sapiens (human)
Lineage: Eukaryota; Metazoa; Chordata; Mammalia; Primates; Hominidae
Gene: SNHG14
Product: small nucleolar RNA host gene 14
Source: Ensembl
GGAUCGAUGAUGACUUAAAGAUUUAUCUAAUUUAAAUCUGAACAAAAUGAGUGACCAAAACACUUCUGUACCACUUCUGUGAGCUGAGGUCCAGCACAGAGACCACUCCAGUCAAACAUGUGUUGCCUGGAGUUGCAACUAGUUGGUCAGUUAGAAGCAACCACAGGGACUGGGGUAUUUGAAAACCACUUGAGUGCAUUUAUUAGAGGAAACGAAUUUUACAUUUGUGUAUAAAAAUUCAAUUGUAGGGUAAAAUGGAAACUCUGAGAGUUUGGUUGGCGGCAUCUAUAUACCAUAGAAACAGAGCCUGGGAAGCAGAACAGUGAGACCCAAGAGAAAUGUUCCUGCCUAUACUUGGUCUGUUCUCACAUUUGCCUGAGCUACUGAUUGAUCUUUUGAGGGUGAUGAGAUGGUCAAAAUCCAAGGAUAUGAUGAGUUUUUACUUCUCAUUUUCUUUUUUUUUUUAUUAUACUUUAAGUUUUGGGGUACAUAUGCAGAACGUGCAGGUUUGUUACAUUGGUAUACACGUGCCAUGGUGGUUUGCUGCACCCAUCAACCCAUCAUCUACAUUAGAUUGGUUUUCACAGAAUUCCAUGGACUUUAACUGCUGAACCAAUGAUGCACUGAUUUUGUCACUUGUACCAGCUAACGCAUCUGGGAGGCAACAAAACAAUACUCUCCUGAGGUUAAUGUGGACCAAAAACUAGAUUUCAUAUAAAAGAGUUUAUUCCUUCUACUUGAGGUGUGACAUGAAGGAAAGUAAUGGAAAUAAUUCUGCCCUCCCAUUCUCAAGGGCCAGGGGGAAUUCAAAUAUUGAACGGAAGUGAUUUUGGAAUUGCAUGGAAUUCUCACUGCCAUCCCAAAGAAAUGCUGAUCUUGUCACUCUUACCUGUUUCAUUCCCUGGGGGCAGAACAAAAGGACGCACUCCAAAGAUCGGCAUGAACCAAGAACUGGGUUUCAUAUAAAAUAUUUUAUUCUGUCCUCUUGAGAUGUGACAUGAGAAAAGUAUUGAGAAUACUUCUAUCACCUCAUCUUCAAGAAUCCGUAGGAAUUCUCCCAUGGUGGACUUUACGGUUAACCUGAACAGGUCUUGGAAAAAGGACUUUAAACAUUCUCCUGUUCUGUGGAAUAAGUAUACUUUUUUCUGGACAUACACCUUGUCAGUGAGUUCCAUGUGAUACUAGAGUUGCAUAGAUUUUUAACCUUUACGCCAAUGAAGAUCUGAGGCAAACAUUGCCCCUUUUUUAGAAGUUUGCAUUUGUCACUGAUAACUGUAAUAAUUGAUCUUGUUGAAAAGCCUGGGAAAUGAAGAUCUGAUAUGUCACUUUUACCGGCUUCCUCAACUGAAAAAGAAUACAAUGAAACACGCUGAGAAUUUUUGUGCUUUCUCAGUCUUGCUGAUGAUCUUUCUAUGGGCCUGAAGCGUGGAGAGUGCCAGAGAGGCUGAUCCUCAGCAGUGUGGCAGAGGAAAGUUGGGUGCGACUAAGGGGUAUGCGGUGCCCACAUGCCACUGGGUCCUCAGCAGUACCACCUGAUUGGAAGUGAUAUUGGUGGAAGACAACAUUUUGCCGCUUGGAAUUCUCACCUCCACACCAAAGAAGUACUGUUUUUGUCAUUUGCACCAGCUUCUUUCUCCAGGAAAGAUCAAAACGAUGCACUGCAAGGUUAACAUCCAAUUUUUAAUACAUGUAAUUCCCUGGAUUAUUUUUGUUGUGUUAUUAAAUAACUUAGAAUUUUUUUUACAAAGUCUGUUGAACCAAACACUGUAAGGCAUUAAUAACCUGGUGAGU